Molecule: ribosomal RNA, 253 nt
Filed under: uncultured bacterium
Lineage: Bacteria
Description: partial 16S ribosomal RNA
Rfam family: Bacterial small subunit ribosomal RNA
Source: RNAcentral
GACAGAGGGUGCGAGCGUUAAUCGGACUUACUGGGCGUAAAGGGUGCGUAGGUGGUUGAGUAAGAGAGAUGUGAAAGACCCAUGCUUAACAUGGGGGUGUCAUUUCAGACUGCUUGACUAGAGUUCACGAGAGGGAAGGGGAAUUUCCGGUGUAGCGGUGAAAUGCGUAGAUAUCGGAAAGAACACCGGUGGCGAAGGCGCCUUUCUGGCGUGAAACUGACACUGAGGCACGAAAGCGUGGGUAGCGAACAGG